AACAAUGAUAAAUAAUAGCUAAAUAUUGUGUAUUAUUCUUUCCUGUUGUGUCCAAGAAUUAAUUCAAGUAGGAGGCCAAAGCUCUCCUCUAAGUUGGAUACACCUGAAUGCAUCGCUCUUGUUUUAACAAAAUUGAAAAUGCAGGAGUGCACCAGGAGCAAGAAAAGAUAUUGCCCCAAGGACUCGCCUUAAAUACCCAAUGCGACUUUGACAAGCCUCAUUAAGGAUGGAUACAUCGAUGGAGAGCUGUAAUAAGGCUUGUAAUAAAACAAUGCUUUUGCAUUUUGGUUCUCUUA
Molecule: long non-coding RNA, 296 nt
Organism: Drosophila rhopaloa
Lineage: Eukaryota; Metazoa; Arthropoda; Insecta; Diptera; Drosophilidae
Exons: 2
Source: RefSeq, a predicted model, not a curated record